GGGGCAGCAUGAACUUAGCUUGCUAAGUUUGAUGGCGACCGGCGCACGGGUGAGUAACACGUAUCCAACCUUCCGUUUACUCAGGGAUAGCCUUUCGAAAGAAAGAUUAAUACCUGAUAGUAUGGUGAGAUUGCAUGAUAGCACCAUUAAAGAUUUAUUGGUAAACGAUGGGGAUGCGUUCCAUUAGGUAGUAGGCGGGGUAACGGCCCACCUAGCCGACGAUGGAUAGGGGUUCUGAGAGGAAGGUCCCCCACAUUGGAACUGAGACACGGUCCAAACUCCUACGGGAGGCAGCAGUGAGGAAUAUUGGUCAAUGGGCGAGAGCCUGAACCAGCCAAGUAGCGUGAAGGAUGAAGGUCCUACGGAUUGUAAACUUCUUUUAUACGGGAAUAAAGUAUCCUACGUGUAGGAUUUUGUAUGUACCGUAUGAAUAAGCAUCGGCUAACUCCGUGCCAGCAGCCGCGGUAAUACGGAGGAUGCGAGCGUUGUCCGGAUUUAUUGGGUUUAAAGGGAGCGCAGACGGGAGAUUAAGUCAGUUGUGAAAGUUUGCGGCUCAACCGUAAAAUUGCAGUUGAUACUGGUUUCCUUGAGUGCAGUUGAGGCAGGCGGAAUUCGUGGUGUAGCGGUGAAAUGCUUAGAUAUCACGAAGAA
Molecule: ribosomal RNA, 651 nt
Filed under: uncultured bacterium
Lineage: Bacteria
Description: bacterial SSU rRNA
Rfam family: Bacterial small subunit ribosomal RNA
Source: RNAcentral